CAUGCAAGUCGAACGAGCGAGAGAGAGCUUGCUUUCUUGAGCGAGUGGCGAACGGGUGAGUAACGCGUGAGGAACCUGCCUCAAAGAGGGGGACAACAGUUGGAAACGACUGCUAAUACCGCAUAAGCCCACGACCCGGCAUCGGGUAGAGGGAAAAGGAGCAAUCCGCUUUGAGAUGGCCUCGCGUCCGAUUAGCUAGUUGGAGAGGUAACGGCCCACCAAGGCAACGAUCGGUAGCCGGACUGAGAGGUUGAACGGCCACAUUGGGACUGAGACACGGCCCAGACUCCUACGGGAGGCAGCAGUGGGGAAUAUUGCACAAUGGGGGAAACCCUGAUGCAGCGACGCCGCGUGGAGGAAGAAGGUCUUCGGAUUGUAAACUCCUGUUGUUGAGGAAGAUAAUGACGGUACUCAACAAGGAAGUGACGGCUAACUACGUGCCAGCAGCCGCGGUAAAACGUAGGUCACAAGCGUUGUCCGGAAUUACUGGGUGUAAAGGGAGCGCAGGCGGGAAGACAAGUUGGAAGUGAAAUCCAUGGGCCCAACCCAUGAACUGCUUUCAAAACUGUUUUUCUUGAGUAGUGCAGAGGUAGGCGGAAUUCCCGGUGUAGCGGUGGAAUGCGUAGAUAUCGGGAGGAACACCAGUGGCGAAGGCGGCCUACUGGGCACCAACUGACGCUGAGGCUCGAAAGUGUGGGUAGCAAACAGGAUUAGAUACCCUGGUAGUCCACACUGUAAACGAUGAUUACUAGGUGUUGGAGGAUUGACCCCUUCAGUGCCGCAGUUAACACAAUAAGUAAUCCACCUGGGGAGUACGACCGCAAGGUUGAAACUC
Molecule: ribosomal RNA, 835 nt
Filed under: uncultured bacterium
Lineage: Bacteria
Description: bacterial SSU rRNA
Rfam family: Bacterial small subunit ribosomal RNA
Source: RNAcentral